UUUGGUUCAUUGGUUGACACUGCGUGUCUGAUUGACAGAAACAACAGGUGAGGCUGUUAGUCUGAGCAGACAGCCAGAACGAAUGUGUGUGCGCUUGAGCAUUUAGGCCUAUAUUGUUUCAUUUCUUUGAAUUAGUUCAUUCUAUUCAUUUAAAUCUUUUGAUUAUUCAUUUAAUUUUGGGCUAUUUUUAUAAAUAGAUUCGGCUCUUCUGAUUCGCGAACGACCCAUCACUAAUCCAGCACUUCUUUACAUUGUCAUCAAUGUUAAUAAAGAAGUGCAGAACAAGCCAUUUUAGUUUACUGCAAUUGUUUCUAAAACCGUAAUGCCACCAUAAACAGUAAGAGAUGACAGUGCCAGUGGUGAACCUUUCUUUUGCUGCGUGUGGAUUCCUGGGUCUCUACCAUGUGGAGCCAUACUGAGACAUGGAGACAAGCUGCUGGGCUCUCUCAGGGCAUGUGCUGGAGCUCUGGUGGCUGCAGUGAUGAUCACUGCUCCAGACAAACUAGAGGGAGGACAUCGAGGAGUUUCUGCCUGGCGAUGCCCACAGUAAAGCAGGCAAUCGCCUUCACAUCUCAAUAACGCAUUCAAAAAGUGGCAAGAAAACCAUCCUAUCCAGUUUAGCCUCCAGGGAGGACCUCAUAAAGCUAGCCUGCCACAAGCCUGAGCAGAUUAUAUUACUGUAUCUUACUAUAAACCUUGGCUUUAACACAAAAUGUUGUCGUAAAUGUUUAUGAGGAGCACGGCCAUUGUUUUCAUAUCUUGCAAUAUGUUUGGGUCAAGGAACAUUUCAAAAUCUCUUUCACUACAUAUUUUUGGAUUUGGUCUGACCUAAUUCCUUUGCUUCUUUUAAUUUAAGGCACUCUUAGCCAGUCGUUUUGUGCCUGUCUAUGCUGGAAUCAAACCGGUGGAAUGACAAGGACAGGUAAUAACUUUAGCUGCAUCUCAAAC
Molecule: long non-coding RNA, 948 nt
Organism: Oncorhynchus tshawytscha (Chinook salmon)
Lineage: Eukaryota; Metazoa; Chordata; Actinopteri; Salmoniformes; Salmonidae
Exons: 3
Source: RefSeq, a predicted model, not a curated record